RNAcentral lists this unclassified non-coding RNA (2180 nucleotides) under Hevea brasiliensis (rubber tree). The record is from RNAcentral. Lineage: Eukaryota; Viridiplantae; Streptophyta; Magnoliopsida; Malpighiales; Euphorbiaceae.
UUCAUGAUAUGGAGGUGUACUUCUAAUCACUUUUUCUGCUUUACAUUGAAAUUUACAUAAAUGGCUAGUUCAGUUGGUUCAAUUUGAACAUACUCUAUCCAAGUCAUCUCUACCUGUUUUUAUGUUUAGUUAAUUAUUGUGAACUGUGAUACAUAGUUACAUACUCUAGCGGAAAAUAGGCAUGACUGCUAAUUCUCUCAUGCUGCCAUAAAUGUAUGAUGUAAUAUUAUCCAUUCAAUGAGUGGUCUUUCUGGAAUAUGAGAUUAAUUUUUGGAGAGGUAGAUCUUAUCAUUAAUAACAAUAGCUGUUGAAGGUCACCAUUCAUGUGUAAAAUCAUAUGUUUUAUUGAAAACUUCUUUAAUGUUUGGUAAUUUACAUACUUUUGUCCAAUGAUCACUUUAUUCGUUCUCUUGCAAUUACAGUAACUGCCCCAUUAGCUUGCACAAGUGGAUUAAGUUGACAUAGUUUUGUAUAAAGCCGAGCAGAAUGCUGAUUAUUUAGUAUUCUCAUAGUCAGACAAGGAUAUAUAUAUUUUUUUCCUUUUGAAAAUUUUUAUGAUUAGGUACAUUCGAUACUUUGGCUUAAAUUCUGGCCAGUUGGUCUAGUUUUGUGAAGUUGCUCCUGUUCAACUUUGAUUUUAUGGGAUCAUAAAGGAUAGAGGAUAUUUCUGAAGUAAGUGUAGUGAAAUUGGUCUUGGAUUUUACUAAUGAUAUACAACCAUCGAUUUUUGCAUAAGAUAAUUACUUGGGAUUUGGCUUUUCUUUCUCUUUUAGAGAAGGUUAUUAGCGUGUCUUGAGACAGCAGCUGAUUAAGUGCAUCUUUAUCUCUGAUAAGAAAAUGGAUCAGACUUAACUCACUCUCAAAAGUUAGCUUAAGGUGGGAGGGGGGAUUGUCCAAAUUUUUAUAAGAGGCACAUUACCCACAUGUUUAACCAAUGUGGGAUAUUUCCAAGUAUUAGUAUUUAGCCCUCUUGGUUUAUUCCUGGUUGAUGUGGGACAUACCUCUCUCAUGCCCAACAAUGAAUAUCUGGAAAGUAAAGUUUGCACAAAAUUGAACAUCUGUGGGUGGCUCAAUAUCGAGACAAGGGUUAGCUCUGAUAUCAUGAUAAUAAAAUGAAUUGGGUCUAACUCACCCCUAAAAGCUAGCUCAAGUGGGAAGGGAGAGGAUUGCCCAAGUAUUUAUAAGGAGCACAUUGCCCACAUAUGGGAUACUUAACAAUCUCCUUCUCCACUAGUGUAACAUGAUUGUGGGAGUUCAGCUUGUUAAUGUUUUAGCGUUGCCAGGGAGUCGGGCUUUUGCUAAUCUCAUCCUUCGUAUGAGCUAUACACUUAUCUUGGUGAAAUUCAUGACAAUAAUUACGCCUGAAGCAAACUUAUGUCAUAGGUGCUUAACUGGUAUUAUACCCAUUCUUUGUCAAAGAUUGAGCUUUGCUUGUCUUGGUUUAAUGUCACUAUCAUGCACAUACCUACUGGAGUUGCAUAUUUUGUACUUUAAUGGUAGGCUGAGCAAGCAGAAAAAUCAUAUUUAAUAAGAAAAUUAAUUAACUUUUUUAUGAGCAUGGUAUUGCGAUUGAAAGUUUUGAAAUUUUGUAAUGUAAUUGGUUGGCUCUUUUAAUUUGCAUGUCCUGUUUCUCUGACCAAUUUGGCUGUGCACACUGCCUGCCUUAAUAGGGGACUAGCUUCUGAAUUUGAGUGGCUAGAUUACUGAUCCUCUUCAUACCUAGUUCAGAAAACAAGUUAUUCUUGUACUUUUGUUUUAUAUGUGCGCAUGAAUGUUAUUAACAUUGCUUUGCAUCAUGUGACAAUAUGUCUUAUACCUGAGAAACUUGUCAUAUAGGCAGCUAGUGAUUGAGGUUGUCUGGAUUUGAGUUUUAGAAGGGGAGGUUGCUCAGAUGCUUGGUGUUUCUUUGAAUGAUUAUAUGUGGGAACAUUCUUCAAUCUACUUUGUUUUGUGUUUAGUGUUUCUUGAAAUCAAGCCUAUGGCGGUGUAGCUACUGUGUGAAUGCCAAAUUCAUUUUGAGGGGUAUUUUGAAUUUUGAUAGAAUAAGGGUUCCCUGCAAAAGUUCUUCAUGGGCUCAAGAGUUGCUUACUGAUAUUUCUGGAUGUCUGGUGGGAAUAUUUAAUAUUAGUUUUAAUUCUAAAAAUUGUAUCCAUUUCAGAUCUUGGAUUUGCUAGUGGCAA